CGUUAAUCGGAAUUACUGGGCGUAAAGCGCGCGUAGGCGGUUGCUUAAGUCAGAUGUGAAAGCCCCGGGCUUAACCUGGGAACUGCAUUUGAUACUGGGCGGCUAGAGUGUGGUAGAGGUGAGUGGAAUUUCAGGUGUAGCGGUGAAAUGCGUAGAGAUCUGAAGGAACAUCAGUGGCGAAGGCGACUCACUGGGCCAUUACUGACGCUGAGGUGCGAAAGCGUGGGUAGCAAACAGGAUUAGAUACCCUGGUAGUCCACGCCCUAAACGAUGUCAACUAGGUGUAUGGGAAAUUUAUUUCUUGUGUAUCGAAGCUAACGCGAUAAGUUGACCGCCUGGGGAGUACGGUCGCAAGACUAAAACUCAAAUGAAUUGACGGGGGCCCGCACAAGCGGUGGAGCAUGUGGUUUAAUUCGAUGCAACGCGAAGAACCUUACCUGGCCUUGACAUGCACGGAACUUUCCAGAGAUGGAUUGGUGCCUUCGGGAACCGUGACACAGGUGCUGCGUGGCUGUCGUCAGCUCGUGUCGUGAGAUGUUGGGUUAAGUCCCGCAACGAGCGCAACCCCUGUCCUUAGUUGCCAUCAUUAAGUUGGGCACUCUAAGGAGACUGCCGGUGACAAACCGGAGGAAGGUGGGGAUGACGUCAAGUCAUCAUGGCCCUUAUGGCCAGGGCUACACACGUGCUACAAUGGGCAGUACAAAGGGUUGCCAACUCGCGAGAGUGAGCUAAUCCCAUAAAGCUGUUCGUAGUCCGGAUCGCAGUCUGCAACUCGACUGCGUGAAGUCGGAAUCGCUAGUAAUCGCGGAUCAGAAUGCCGCGGUGAAUACGUUCCCGGGCCUUGUACACACCGCCCGUCACACCAUGGGAGUUGGCUGCAAAAGAAG
RNAcentral lists this ribosomal RNA (887 nucleotides) under uncultured bacterium. RNAcentral describes it as "bacterial SSU rRNA". It matches the Rfam family "Bacterial small subunit ribosomal RNA", at positions 539 to 1426 of the family's 1533-position model. The record is from RNAcentral.